Molecule: ribosomal RNA, 253 nt
Filed under: uncultured bacterium
Lineage: Bacteria
Description: partial 16S ribosomal RNA
Rfam family: Bacterial small subunit ribosomal RNA
Source: RNAcentral
UACAGAGGUCUCAAGCGUUGUUCGGAUUCAUUGGGCGUAAAGGGUGCGUAGGUGGUGGGGUAAGUCGGAUGUGAAAUCCCGGGGCUCAACCCCGGAACUGCAUUCGAUACUGCCUUGCUCGAGUACUGGAGAGGAGACUGGAAUUUACGGUGUAGCAGUGAAAUGCGUAGAUAUCGUAAGGAAGACCAGUGGCGAAGGCGAGUCUCUGGACAGUUACUGACACUGAGGCACGAAGGUCAGGGGAGCAAACGGG